UACAGAGGUCUCAAGCGUUGUUCGGAUUCAUUGGGCGUAAAGGGUGCGUAGGCGGCGGGGCAAGUCAGGUGUGAAAUCCCGGAGCUCAACUCCGGAACUGCACUUGAUACUGCCUCGCUAGAGUACUGGAGAGGAGACUGGAAUUUACGGUGUAGCAGUGAAAUGCGUAGAUAUCGUAAGGAAGACCAGUGGCGAAGGCGAGUCUCUGGACAGUUACUGACGCUGAGGCACGAAGGCCAGGGGAGCAAACGGG
RNAcentral lists this ribosomal RNA (253 nucleotides) under uncultured bacterium. RNAcentral describes it as "partial 16S ribosomal RNA". It matches the Rfam family "Bacterial small subunit ribosomal RNA", at positions 524 to 776 of the family's 1533-position model. The record is from RNAcentral.